AUGGCCGGCGCUGGAUCGAGUUCAUCCGCACCAAGAGAAGGAGGCUUUCACUUGAUGAGUUGCCUAAAAGAAGUUCCGACACUCAGAGGUGACAACCACACUGAGUGGAGGAAGAAAGUUGAACUGGCAUUUAUUUGUGCUGAUCUUGACUGGGUUGUGGUGAAACCACAGCCGGUCAGACCCACAGAGCCAGUAAGAGAGGCCACUGAUGAUGAUGAUGCAUGGGCUAAAAAGAAGGGGGACUAUGCUCCUUUGGAGCAGUCCUACCUCAUAGAUAACCAAAAGUGGGUCAAUGCAAACAAAAAGUGCAUGGCUUUUAUAAAGAAUACAAUUGAGAGCGUCAUUGUGGGCUCCAUUCCAGAGUGCACUUCCGCAGGGGAGUUGCUUACAAAGAUAAAGAGCCAGUUCACUGGCUCUUCAAAGAUCUAUGCCACCCAGGUGUUAGAGCAACUUGUGACAGAACGCUACACAGGUGGUAGUCGUGGAAUAAGAGAGCACAUCCUCAGGAUGAGCAAUAUGGCAGCAAAGCUCAAGCCCAUGGAUGCGGAUCUAGAGACCAAACCAGCACUCCUGGUCCACCUGGUCAUGGCUUCACUGCCACAGGAGUUUGCAACUUUUGUUGUAAACUAUAAUAUGUCACCUGGAACAUGGGACAUUGAAAAGACAAUAGCAAUGUGUGUCCAAGAAGAGGACAGACUCAAAGCCGCACAUGGUGGUUCAAUCAACUAUGUGAAGGAUUGGAAGAAAAAGAACUACAAUCAAAACAACAAAAGUUCUCCUUCAAAGAAUGGAAAAGCCCCCUAUCAGCAUCAGCAACAGCCUUUCUCAGUGGACAAAGACACGUGUCUCCACUGCAAGCAGAAAGGGCAUUACAAGAAAGACUGCGCUGCUUGGCUGAAGUCAGUCAUGGCAAAAAGAGGUAACAAUAUAGUUUCAUUUGUAAAUGAAUCCUUGUAUACACAGUUCUCAAAAUCCACUUGGUGGAUUGAUUCAGGAGCAACUGUUCAUGUUGCAAAUUCUUUACAGGGAUUCCAUUCGACGCGAACUACGCUAAGAAGCGAAAGACGCAUUGAAGUGGCAAACGGAGUUGAAGCAGAAGUUGAAGCUGUCGGUGACAUCUCCUUGGAGUUAGCUGGCGGAUUCAAUUUUCUACUUAGAGAUGUUUUAUUUGUUCCAUCAUGUCAUAGAAACUUAAUUAGUGUUUCUUGUUUGGACAAAGAUAAUUAUGAAUGUCAUUUUGGACAUGGCAAGUGUGCCAUUUGGUAUAAU
RNAcentral lists this ribosomal RNA (1269 nucleotides) under Triticum aestivum (bread wheat). RNAcentral describes it as "partial small subunit ribosomal RNA". Lineage: Eukaryota; Viridiplantae; Streptophyta; Magnoliopsida; Poales; Poaceae. The record is from RNAcentral.